GAUGAACGCUGGCGGCGCGCCUAAUACAUGCAAGUCGAGCGAACAGACGAGGAGAUUGCUCCUCUGAAGUUAGCGGCGGACGGGUGAGUAACACGUGGAUAACCUACCUAUAAGACUGGGAUAACUUCGGGAAACCGGAGCUAAUACCGGAUAAUAUAUUGAACCGCAUGGUCCAAUAGUGAAAGACGGUUUUGCUGUCACUUAUAGAUGGAUCCGCGCCGCAUUAGCUAGUUGGUAAGGUAACGGCUUACCAAGGCAACGAUGCGUAGCCGACCUGAGAGGGUGAUCGGCCACACUGGAACUGAGACACCGUCCAGACUCCUACGGGAGGCAGCAGCAGGGAAUCUUCCGCAAUGCGCGAAAGCCUGACGGAGCAACGCCGCGUGAGUCAUGAAGGUCCUCGGAUCGUAAAACUCUCUUAUUCGGGAACAACAAGUGUGUAAGUACCUAUGCCCAUCUUGACGGUACCUAAUCAGAAAGCUGCGGCUAACUACGUG
Molecule: ribosomal RNA, 497 nt
Filed under: uncultured bacterium
Lineage: Bacteria
Description: partial 16S ribosomal RNA
Rfam family: Bacterial small subunit ribosomal RNA
Source: RNAcentral